This 465-nucleotide ribosomal RNA is filed under the name Vreelandella stevensii. RNAcentral's name for it is "partial 16S ribosomal RNA". It matches the Rfam family "Bacterial small subunit ribosomal RNA", at positions 338 to 795 of the family's 1533-position model. The record is from RNAcentral. Lineage: Bacteria; Pseudomonadati; Pseudomonadota; Gammaproteobacteria; Oceanospirillales; Halomonadaceae.
CCUACGGGGGGCUGCAGUGGGGAAUAUUGGACAAUGGGCGAAAGCCUGAUCCAGCCAUGCCGCGUGUGUGAAGAAGGCCUUCGGGUUGUAAAGCACUUUCAGUGGGGAAGAAAGCCUUGGGGCUAAUACCCUCGAGGAAGGACAUCACCCACAGAAGAAGCACCGGCUAACUCCGUGCCAGCAGCCGCAGUAAUACGGAGGGUGCGAGCGUUAAUCGGAAUUACUGGGCGUAAAGCGCGCGUAGGCGGUCUGAUAAGCCGGUUGUGAAAGCCCCGGGCUCAACCUGGGAACGGCAUCCGGAACUGUCAGGCUAGAGUGCAGGAGAGGAAGGUAGAAUUCCCGGUGUAGCGGUGAAAUGCGUAGAGAUCGGGAGGAAUACCAGUGGCGAAGGCGGCCUUCUGGACUGACACUGACGCUGAGGUGCGAAAGCGUGGGUAGCAAACAGGAUUAGAUACCCGAGUAGUC